RNAcentral lists this ribosomal RNA (497 nucleotides) under uncultured bacterium. RNAcentral's name for it is "partial 16S ribosomal RNA". It matches the Rfam family "Bacterial small subunit ribosomal RNA", at positions 28 to 507 of the family's 1533-position model. The record is from RNAcentral.
GAUGAACGCUGGCGGCGUGCCUAAUACAUGCAAGUCGAGCGAACAGAUGAGGAGCUUGCUCCUCUGACGUUAGCGGCGGACGGGUGAGUAACACGUGGAUAACCUACCUAUAAGACUGGGAUAACUUCGGGAAACCGGAGCUAAUCCCGGAUAAUAUAUUGAACCGCAUGGUUCAUUAGUGAAAGACGGUUUUGCUGUCACUUAUAGAUGGAUCCGCGCCGCAUUAGCUAGUUGGUAAGGUAACGGCUUACCAAGGCAACGAUGCGUGGCCGACCUGAGAGGGUGAUCGGCCACACUGGAACUGAGACACGGUCAAGACGCCUAAGGGAGGCAGCAGUAGGGAAUCUUCCGCAAUGGGCGAAAGCAUGACGGAGCAACGCCGCGUGAGUGAUGAAGGUCUUCGGAUCGUAAAAAUCUGUUAUUAGGGAAGAACAAAUGUGUAAGUAACUAUGCACGUCUUGACGGUACCUAAUAAGAAAGCCACGGCUAACUACGUG